Molecule: transfer RNA, 101 nt
Filed under: Pseudogymnoascus sp. VKM F-3808
Lineage: Eukaryota; Fungi; Ascomycota; Leotiomycetes; Thelebolales; Thelebolaceae
Rfam family: tRNA
About the family: Transfer RNA (tRNA) molecules are approximately 80 nucleotides in length.
Source: Rfam by way of RNAcentral
GGCGUGGUGCCAGAGUGGUUAAUGGGUAUGACUCGAAUGGCAUUCUUGCCUAUAGAUAUCAUAUGGUUUCGGCCGCGUAGGUUCAAAUCCUGCCCACGUCG